UUUAUAUCAGAUCCAAAGAAACCAGCCAGGGGUCAUGUGCUUGCUCAUGCGGCCACAAUAAGGUUGAUGUUCAGGAAAGGCAAAGGUGAACAGCGAGUCUGCAAGGUGUCUGAUGCCCCAAAUUUGCCCGAAGCUGAAGCAAUAUCCUUUUACCUCAAUUUCAGUGUAAAGUUUUUCUGAGUACCCUCUAAUCACUUAACUCCAUGUCGUUUGACCAUGAUGAUCAGACUACAAGUUACCAGCUCUUAAUCAAAGACUGCAUGAACUAAUUCGAUUAGAACUAAGACCAAAUUAUUUAAUCUAUUGGAUAUUACCUUUCAAACAUGACUGUAUGAAUCAAAUUAAAUCCCGGCAUCAGCAUUUAGCAAAUCUUAUCUAAGUACUGCAACUUUGUUGUUUGGUUAUCCUUGACGGAAGCAUGUCUUUCAGAUAACACCAAGGGGCAUUGCAGAUGCGAAGGACUGACUCCGAGGUGAGACCAAGCUUGGCAGAAAAAUGUAGGCCAAAGUAAUAUACUUUUUAAUUGACUGUUUAUAUUCCUCACCCUUAGAAUUUAAGCUGCAAAGUAAGGAUUUGCCUUCCCU
RNAcentral lists this long non-coding RNA (584 nucleotides) under Gossypium barbadense (sea-island cotton). Its description in RNAcentral is "long non-coding RNA (GBAR_LNC023445)". Lineage: Eukaryota; Viridiplantae; Streptophyta; Magnoliopsida; Malvales; Malvaceae. The record is from RNAcentral.